UACAGAGACUGCGAGCGUUAUUCGGAUUCACUGGGCGUAAAGGGUGCGCAGGCGGCCGUGUGUGUGAGGCGUGAAAGCCCGGGGCUUAACCCCGGAAUUGCACCUCAAACUACACGGCUAGAGCAUUGGAGAGGGUAGCGGAAUUCACGGUGUAGCAGUGAAAUGCGUAGAUAUCGUGAGGAACACCAGAGGCGAAGGCGGCUACCUGGACAAUUGCUGGCGCUCAGGCACGAAAGCGUGGGGAGCAAAAGGG
RNAcentral lists this ribosomal RNA (253 nucleotides) under uncultured bacterium. RNAcentral's name for it is "partial 16S ribosomal RNA". It matches the Rfam family "Bacterial small subunit ribosomal RNA", at positions 524 to 776 of the family's 1533-position model. The record is from RNAcentral.